This 254-nucleotide ribosomal RNA is filed under the name uncultured bacterium. Its description in RNAcentral is "partial 16S ribosomal RNA". It matches the Rfam family "Bacterial small subunit ribosomal RNA", at positions 524 to 776 of the family's 1533-position model. The record is from RNAcentral.
UACAGAGGUCCCGAGCGUUGUUCGGAUUCAUUGGGCGUAAAGGGUGCGUAGGCGGCGGAGCAAGUCUGAUGUGAAAUCCCGGGGCUCAACCCCCGGAACUGCAUUGGAUACUGCUUUGCUAGAGUACUGGAGAGGGAACUGGAAUUUACGGUGUAGCAGUGAAAUGCGUAGAGAUCGUAAGGAAGGCCAGUGGCGAAGGCGAGUUCCUGGACAGUUACUGACGCUGAGGCACGAAGGCCAGGGGAGCAAACGGG